GUCCCAGUUCGGAUUGCAGGCUGCAACCCGCCUGCAUGAAGUUGGAAUCGCUAGUAAUCGCGGAUCAGCAUGCCGCGGUGAAUACGUUCCCGGGCCUUGUACACACCGCCCGUCACACCAUGGGAGUCGGUAACACCCGAAGUCGGUAGCCUAACCGUAAGGAGGGCGCCGCCGAAGGUGGGAUUGAUGACUGGGGUGAAGUCGUAACAAGGUAGC
Molecule: ribosomal RNA, 216 nt
Filed under: uncultured bacterium
Lineage: Bacteria
Description: partial 16S ribosomal RNA
Rfam family: Bacterial small subunit ribosomal RNA
Source: RNAcentral